GGACACCAGCCGCUCAUGAAAUUUUGCUUUAUGGUCCCCUGGUUUUAUCACUAAAAGAUUCAAGGAAAAUAGUAUUUAUGGUUACUGUAGAGUGUAUCAAUACACUAUUCAAGGGGAAUUGUUAACAUGUUAACUGCCAUAAAAUAUAAUGCCAGUCAUUGAUGACCACCAUGGUCUCAUUGUGAGAACAUGUGGUUACGGAUGAUUACCGUGGCAGUCAACAUGUUAAAGACUACGAAACACAUAGUACAUAAAUAUUAAAUUACUUUUCAUCCAAUUCGCAAAUAUUGGAGUAAAUUGUGCAGAUACUAUGGAGUCAAAUUUACAAAACUUCUAAUUCUCUCAUAUCAGGUAUUUUUCUUUCCUUUUUUAGUAUAUAUAUUUCAUACACUUUUAAUUCAUUUUCUUCUAUUGUGUAGCAGUAUCUGAAAUGCUUUGCCGCCAUGUAGCAUGGAAAGGAAUCUUCAAGAUUUUAACCCUUGUUUUAGGCAAUGCAGUCAAUAAAAGUUUUUGGAGUUGGGGUAAUGGUAAUAUAUCCACUUGAGGAUUUGUUAAAUUUGGUUGUUGUUUGUCAUCACCUUAAAAAUAAUAAAAAAGAUAUAAAAUUAAUUGGAAAAUAUAUUUAAAUUUUU
Molecule: long non-coding RNA, 632 nt
Organism: Apis cerana (Asiatic honeybee)
Lineage: Eukaryota; Metazoa; Arthropoda; Insecta; Hymenoptera; Apidae
Source: RefSeq, a predicted model, not a curated record